CUGCAUGAAGUUGGAAUUGCUAGUAAUCGCGGAUCAGCAUGCCGCGGUGAAUACGUUCCCUGGCCUUGUACACACCGCCCGUCACACCAUGGGAGCCGGUAAUACCCGAAGUCAGUAGCCUAACCGCAAGGGGGGCGCUGCCGAAGGUAGGAUUGGCGACUGGGGUGAAGUCGUAACAAGGUAAC
Molecule: ribosomal RNA, 185 nt
Filed under: uncultured bacterium
Lineage: Bacteria
Description: partial 16S ribosomal RNA
Rfam family: Bacterial small subunit ribosomal RNA
Source: RNAcentral